GAACCUUUCAAUUUUAGCCAGACACAUGCAUCCUAUCUGUGUUCCUUACAUCUAGGGAAAGCCACGUAACUACAUAUGGCCCAUGAUGACAUCUAGAAAAGAGUUUCCCAUGGACUAGAAGGCAGAUGAUGGCUGAAACUCAGUGGCUGUCUUGAACCAUGAGAUGUGUUCCUACAAGAAGAGAAAGAUCUCCCAGUAAUCAUAAAAGAGGCUUUACUGCAAGAGGAGGCUAAGCAGAGGCCAGUCCUGUGGCAAAUGGGAUCAUCUGCAGCUCUGGCAAGAUUCUACCUGCCUAGAAUCAGAUGACCGGGAUAGAAGGACCUGAGAAGGACAUGGAAUUUGGACCCAGCUCUGAGAAUCAUGUUAGGCUACAGUCAUGGGCUUGGUUUGGGACUUAGAAACCAAGUUAGCUUCUCAGUGUGGAAAGCGACCAUGCCACCUGCAGAGUGCCUGGCUGAAUUUCACCCAUGGUAGACAUCCAACAGCUUCUGGGCCAACAGGCAACCACCCAAAGGGAGCGGACAGGUUGCUGGAUCUGUUUCCUCUGAAAUGCAGCUGUGUCCAGUGUGAAGUAGACGAAGACACCAUCAGGGUUGGAAGUGGCCUCGGGGACUAGAUGGGGAAGGAGCCUCUUUUCUGAGAAGGAUAUGGCAAAGGUGGGAGGGAUACUGUGUGGUGUUCCCAGCAGAGACUCCAGGCUACCUCAAUUCUUCAGGUCCUUGGAUGUGACUGACAGCCAGCAUUCUAUGUGAUGGGUCAGCGAGCCUGACAGCCUCCCUGUUCCCUACGAGCAACAUCCAGACUGCCUCUCAAACAACACAGGUGGGAGACUGUUGCCUCUCAGGCAGCUCAGGUGGAAGGGACUCCCUUCUGCUUUUUAGGGCCUGGUAUUGAAUCGGAGAACUAGUCUUUAUCAAACGGGCCUGGAAUGAAUUUUACAGGUUGUGCUAAGAUCUUUUAAAUCCAAAAAGCUAGAAUUGGGUGACUUGCCAAAUCAAAGAGGCCAAAUGCAGAUAAAGCAUCCCAAAUUCGGGGUUGGGGAAGUAGCUCAAUUGGUAGAUUACUUUCUUAGCAUGCAGGAAGCCCUGGGUUCAGUCACCAAUUCUUAACAACCAGGGGUGAAGAUACACACCUAUAGUCCUAGCACUAGGGAGGAGGAAACAGGAGGAUCAGAAGUUUAAGGCCAGCCUUGAACAUAGUAAAUUCAAGGCCAAUGUAGGCUAAGGAGGCUCUUUCUCAAAAACAAACAAACAAACAAACAAACAAACAAAAACAAACAUGGAAAAGCCCCGUGAUAGGGAAUCAGGAACAUGCCAGCCAGAUACUAUCGAAACAGACAGCAAGUGAAGUGACACUUGCUCUCAGUGACUGUGGCCACUGUGGCUUGUAAGCCAGUCAGUUGAACUCUUGGCAAGGUGCUAAAGACAGAAAUCCAGCAGUCCAUCUCCCGAGAUCAAUACAGCAACUCUCAGCGUGGCUGGUCUACCCGUGACUACACACUGAUGGGGAGAUGGCAUUAGCUGGAACCCCUACAACCCCCAGGGCAGUCUGGAUGGCACAGCCUGUUAUGCUGGAUGGAAUAGGGAUGUUUAUCCCCCUGAUUUCUCCAGCCUCCUUUGGAUGCAGCCCGAUAUUAUACAGUUAGCUCUCUGCUCAGGUUAUGGUAUCUGGAAUGUCUGUUACUUAUCCCCCCAACUGGUGGCAGUGUAAUGAGGUGCCCCUCUAGGAGAUAGGGUGUGGUUAGUCACCAAAGUAGCCUUUGAAAGUUUUUGCUCUGCCCCUAGCUCUGGUACUCUGCUGGCUCACCACCAUCAUGGUGCAGCUGUCCCCACCUCCACAUCCUGCCUGCCAUGAUGGGUUAUGUCUAGAUAUCGUUUUUAAAAGACAACAAUAUUCCAUGGUGUGUGGGUGUGUGUCUAUUCCCUCACCUGCAAUGGCCUAAAGGUGGCUAAUGUAAUAACACCAGCAUGGACCUUUUCCUUGAGCUGUAGACAUAAUGGCAUUUGGCAGGGGAGCUACCAUCGUUUGGCCAUUUUCUGAACAAUGUGAUGGUUCCCUCUGUCUCUUUCAUGUCAGGGAGAACUGAGUCCCUUUGGGCUGGUACAAAAGGAUAUGUGAGGGACAGGGUUUAGAAGGGAAGGAAGAACCAGCCACCACAUCUUCCCCACUAUGAUAUCCUGUAACCUUCACAAUGAAAUAAACUCUUCCUUUUUAAGAUUUUUUAAGCUAUCUUCCCCAGCAAUAGGAAAAGUUGAUCCUAACGAUUUAAAACAAUAGCAUUACCCUUGAGUUGUAGGAUCAUAACAGGGUUGACCCAAAAUUUGCCCUCUAAAUCUUCUAAGCAGUAGGGUCCAUUUUUUGUGUUGAUUUGUUUGAUUAGAUUUUUAAGUUAUGCACAUGUAGUGUCUUUUAAAAUUAAAACCUGCCAAGUGUGAUGGCACAUGCCUUCAAUCCCAGCACUUGGGAGGCAAAAUCAGGCAGAUCUCUGUGAGUUCAAGACCAGUCUAUUCUACUUAAGGAGUUACAGGACAUUCAGGGCUGCAUGAUGAGAUCCUGCCUCAAAAAUAAAAUAAACAAACAACAAAAUUAGAAGCCAUACUUUAUGUAUAUCAGUACAGUUUACUUAUUGACAUGAUGAUAGAAUAUUUUGGUACAGUUUUAAACAGAAGAAAAAAGGGAAAUUCUCAUGUUACAAAACCCUGUCCUCACAAGCAAGCAAACAAACAGACAAAAAUCACCUUUCCUAAAUGGGUCAAUCAGACAAAUGGACUCAGUGACUAGUAGUGUCUAAUGGUCCAUAGCACUGGUUCUCAACCUUCCUAAUGCUGUGACCCUUUAAUACAGUUCCUCAUGUUGUGGUGACUCCAACCAUAAAGUUAUGUCAUUGCCACUUCAUAACCGUAAUUUUGCUACUGUUAUGAAUUGUAAUGCAAACAUCUGAUCUAUGAUACGUGACCUCUGUGGGGGUCGCGGCCCACUUGUUGCGAACCGCUGGCCUAUAACAUUAGAAGUCGGCUUUCUUUUAACCCCACCUACCAAAUAUUAGAGUGCCAUUUUGAAGGGUUCAACAUAUUUGCUUCUGUGGCAGAGUGGGAACUUGAGGCUCCCACAGAUUUGUGUUCUCAGAGCCUUUGUGGGUGCAGAGGGGGUGGGGUUGCUGGGAAUGUGGGACCAUCUAUUCAUUCUCCAUAGGCAAGUGGUAUCAGAUCCUGGGAUUUCCUUUAUGUUCUCAGGAAUGUGCAGAGUGAGCUCCCCAGGCUGUCCUAUUGUUGGGCUGUGUGCUUAAGAGAGAUAAGGUGACAGAACACUGGUGUUCCACGGGGCCUGCCCAGCUGCGUCCUAUGCCAUCAGCUCCAGCGCCCCACAGGGGGCGGGGGAGCCACAGAUGACAGGCAGCUGCGAGUCAUCUGCUGUGGGAACAAUAUCAGCUGGCAGCUCGCCCUCCUUCUGAGAUAUUUGCCUUAAAGUUCCACGGGGGUGAGGGUAGGGCUUGAAGGGGUCGUAUUUAUAGUUUGUGCUAUAAAUAAGUUGUCUUGGGCAGCUGCUGUCCAACUGACUUUUUGAAUGUGAACAUCAUGAUUGAAAGGGUCAGAUGAUCUCCAGAAAGCGCUAAGGCCUCCUUAUUCCAUCCCUGAGUUCUGCUGGCACUUUCCCUCACUCCUGUGGCAUGUGGAAGUCUCCAUGGCACACCUACCCACUUCACCCCACCCUUCUCUUGUACAUCUUAUGGUUAGUACACUCUCAUCAGACCUGUCAGAACGCAGAGCUACCUGGUAUAAGCCUCUGACACAUGUUCCCUUGGAUGGAGUGGAAAGACAGGAGGGGGUCCCAACCUGCCAAGGAUGCUUCUUGGAGUGGUCUUUGGCACUAGCAACUUCAUGUAUAUUUAAUGAAGAAAUAGCAGGUGACCCGGGCUGAUAUUGAGACAUCUGAGCUGCUACCCUGGGUUGAGGAAAGUGAACAACUAACUCAGCCACAGCAUUGGCUCUCUGAAAUGGGAAUCCCACGUGUGGGAACCUCUCUGGUGGUGCUGGGUCAUGUGUGCAGAGCAAAGAGUGGGAACUAAUCAAAAGUCCACCUAUAGGGGCUAGAGAGAGGGCUCCUUUGUGAAAGCACUUGCUGCUCUUGCAGAGGAAGGGAUUCAGCUCCCAGCACCCAGGUGGGGCUGCCUUCAUGAACGGACAAAUAUGCCAGUGGGAUCAUAAUUUGAUGGCAUUAUUGGGAGGUGGUGGAGAGUAGGCAGAGCCUGGCUGGAGGAAGUACGGUCUUGGGAGCACACCCAAGAGAGAUGUGUCUAGUCCACAUCCCCCCCACCCUCUGUGCCAGCUGCCUAACUAACCUCUCUUCUGUAGGUGUCUAUAUGUGAACCCCCCCACCCCAGCCUCGAGUCUUGGCUUAAGUCUCUUGUUUUGCCUAUCAGGACUGGGGCUUUGGUCAAGCUUGCUAGUUCUAGUAUUGGCUAUAUUAAACUAUUACUCUCUGGAAUUUUCUCUAGUUUUAUGCCCAAACUGCUUUUACUCAUUCUUAUGUCCAUCUUGAGAUCCAGAAAUUCAAGGCCAGAACCUAGACUUGGUCCCAUCUAUGCAGGGACACCAGGCAUUUGUGUACUUGCUGUCUGACCAUCUCUCCUCCCCUGGGAUUCUACUACACUUUGGGUACACACCAGGCCUGGACCAAGCAAGAUGCCACACAGGGUGAGGGCAAAGGCACAGACAAGCAUCCCUUCUGUGUCAGGCUAACAAUUGUCUGGGCCAGAGGUCAACAGUGUCAUAAAGUCUUACCACAAAGUCACAUGGAAUAGCAGGAAUCUGGGGCAGAAAAGAGUCCUCUAGAGGAAAAAGGCAGCUCUAUUAGCAUGGAAACGCUUCCAGGGGACUCCUCCAGAGAAAAAGGCUGUCCUAUUAGCCUGGAAACAUUUCCAGGGGACUCCUUAUCUAUGGGAUCUGCUCAGCCUGACUCCUUCCUCCCAAACCUCCUCAGAGAUAACAGUUGAUUUUCCUUCUCCCUCAUCCUCCCCUUCCUCUCCCUAAACUCAUGGAGGCAGGACCUAGGUUCAUCUCAAGGUGAUGAGAAGAGACUGGCCCAUAUGAGUUGCCUCUGGCUGUUGGCAUCGGUAGUAGGGGUUACAUGGGCAGUAUUUACUCCACCAUCACUGGCUGCAGUCUCAAGUAACUCUGUACAAACCGGAGGCGCCAAGUCCUUUCCCAGUGUCCUACCUGGAGCAUGAGAUUUCAGUCUCCAUUGUCUUGGGCUCACUUGUCAGGUGGGGCGUGUUUCAGAGAGGACAAAUAGAGUAAGUGAGAUAAGGGUUAAACACUGAACGGAGGGAGUGUGCUCGGCCACUGGAACUCUCACUUCUGCCAGGGCCUGCGGCUGGCUGUGCAUCACCAAAGGGAUGGGAACUGGAAGCAGAAGCUUCGUUUCCCUCUACUGCUGCUCCGGCCAGGGGACCAGGAAGUGGGCAGGAAGGAAGGAAUGGUGGCAUUCUGCCCUUUAGGCCUACAAAGCCACUCUGGCUCACUGUAAGCCAGCCUCUUGCCCUGUCCAGAAGAUCUGCGUCUGGUCCAUAGCUCACCUGCCUCUGACUCAAAAGAUGAGAGUUCCCUCUGACCCCUUCUCAUCUGUAAAGAUCCUGCCCCACAGGAAAGAUAAUACCUUAAUACUUGUCAGAGGCUGACACAGGGCUGACUGGCAGACACUGCUUAUUAUAAUACUAGUUAAUUGUCAUUUCAGUGAGCCAGAGAUCUUAAGGGAUGAGCAGAAUCCACCCUGAAAAAGGAAAGAAAGGUUGAAAAUACCCUGAAAAGAGCCCGUAAUUUCAACAGGUAGAGGCACCUUGAGAGGUAGAGGCAAGAGGAUGAGGAGGAGUUCAGUGCUCCAUUGCAAUUGAGGGCCAUUACAGCUGGCUCCCUACCCCCAUGCACAUAGGUACUGGGGAUCAAACUCAGUUCCUCAGGCUUACACAAGCACUUCACCAAUGAGCUGCCUUCCCACCCCAGCAUCAGUUUCUUCGUGUGUGGUCUGCAGUCUAGAUUUUUUUAUUUCUCUGAGCUACAAGUCAGUAAAUGCCCCUUGCAAUCAUGAGUGUUUAUGUCUAAUAUUCUACACCCCCCACCACACUUUUGAGACAAGUCCUUACUGUGUAGCUUAGGCUAGCCUCAGACUCAUGAUCCUCCUGCGUCAGUCAGCCUCUGGAGCACAGGAAUAACAGGCACACAUGUCUAUGCCAGCUUUGUCACUCAUAUUUUAAAGAGGAAAAAACUGAGGCUCACUCAGGUAGAAGCGACUUGUCCUAGGCUUUCCAUUAGGCUUGUCCUAGGCUGCCCACUGAGAGCCAGGUCUCAGCAAAGCUCCACCCUUGCUAUACCUUGUUGCCAUGGUCCCUCACAACUGCUCCCUCCCUUCGGCAUCCCUGGGGCCUCUGUCACGCUCCCCUGACCCAGUGCCAUCCCAGGCCUGGUGAGAUCAUGUCUUCCGAAGGCGCCACCUUGGUUCCAUUUUGCAGUUAGAAUGAGACUAUCAUUUCAGGAACCUCAAAGUGACAAGUCCCAGACACCAAGAUUAUGAAAAAUCAGUGUCUCAUUGGGAUCUUAAUUGCAUUAAGUCACCAGGCAGCUGAUGCUGGACACAGCCACACCUCUGGACAAGACUCCUGAUGCUGCUGUCAAUGUCACUGCUUUAUCCUCUGCUUCUGCCUCUGUCUGUGUCUUUGCCACCCCCACACCCCAUCUUUCUCUUCCUCUCUCCAAUUCUCAGGCAGGGCAACAGGAAGCCUCAAAUGGAGAGGAUCCCCAUAGAACGCAGAUUCAUUACAAGAAGACUCAAGGCUCAGAACAAAGCAGUUAUUCUACAGGCUGAGUGAGCUUCCUGCCUAGUUUCAGGGCUGUCCAUGGAGCAGCAGGGUGCAGGGUGUGUAAAAUCUCAGGAUUGUUACCAAUGCUGGAAGAUCAAUGCUGGGCUGAUUUCAGCUGGGGGAGUAAAGGCUAAGAGCACUCUUAGUGGUUAUUUGGUCCUGCUUGCCAAGAGUGUAGCCCAUCACAGAGUUACACAGGGUGUAGCAGACAGAAGCUGUGGUGGGUGAAGGGGCAUCAGUAUGUGGUGGGCCAGGAGGGGCUACCCUGCAAAGUGUAUCCGGGCUUAACAUUUCCCACUAUCCAGAUAUUCACAUGUCACUUAGCAACUUGUUCUGGAGCGUUCCCUCUGGGCUGGUUCCUGCAGGCUCUGAUUCCACUCAUCCCUGCGGAGUAGUCAGUGUGGCUAUACUCUUCUAGGGGCUCCUGAAGCUUCUUUAGAUUGGGGACUACAUCUCAGUCACCCCUGGUCUUUGAGCCAGGCAUGCAAUUUUUUUUCAACAUGUGAAUCAAGGAAUCCUUCAUAAAACGAAACCGGCCAAUGCAGAGAACAGGUGCCUAUGCCGUCCAGAUGUGAGCUCUGUUUCUCUGACUCUCCAGACACAUCUUCCCCUAUAGCUUGUAUUCUGCCCCGAGUGAUGAGAAACCAUAACCUUGAGUAGACCUUUGUCCUGGGUUUCUUCCUUUUCUUUCCCAAUGGGCUCAAGAGUAUGGAAUGAAAUUCUUGCUUAUUCUCAACUUCAUACUACUGAGGCUUUGCCCUCACAGUCAUGCAGUCUUCAUGCACAAAGUCUCACCUGGGAUUUCUUCAGCAUAUACACCUUAUUAAAAAAUAAUCAGAGCUGGAGGAAUGGCUCAGCUCAAAAAAUGCUUGCUGUGCAAACAAUGCCAUUCCCCAGUAGCUCCCUCUGCUUUGUGCUUGUGGAUAGAUGUAGUGGCAUCUUUUUCUGUCGAUAGACUUGAGGUAAUGGCUUUAGGGUGUGGCUUCAGUGUACAAAAGUGAUCCCUUGUAAGGAAGAGGAGCAGCUCUGUCUUGGGUUGUGGUCUCAGCAUCCUGGAUUGCAGACACUGCGCCUCCAGGGGCUGAAGAUGCCAGUGGUUAUUUACCAUCGUUAUGUGAGUGCUCCCUAAAUAAAUAUCUGUCAUUCUUUA
This is a long non-coding RNA of Mesocricetus auratus (golden hamster), 8003 nucleotides long. RefSeq lists it as uncharacterized. The record is from RefSeq and is a predicted model, not a curated record. The transcript is spliced from 3 exons. NCBI's taxonomy places the organism in Eukaryota, Metazoa, Chordata, Mammalia, Rodentia, Cricetidae.